RNAcentral lists this ribosomal RNA (264 nucleotides) under uncultured bacterium. RNAcentral's name for it is "partial 16S ribosomal RNA". It matches the Rfam family "Bacterial small subunit ribosomal RNA", at positions 793 to 1055 of the family's 1533-position model. The record is from RNAcentral.
GUCCACGCUGUAAACGAUGUCUGCUAGCCGUUGGGAUCCUUGAGGUCUCGGUGGCGCAGCUAACGCGAUAAGCAGACCGCCUGGGGAGUACGGCCGCAAGGUUAAAACUCAAAUGAAUUGACGGGGGCCCCGCACAAGCGGUGGAGCAUGUGGUUUAAUUCGAUGCAACGCGAAGAACCUUACCACCCCUUGACAUCCAGAGAACUGCCCAGAGAUGGGCGGGUGCCUUCGGGAACUCUGAGACAGGUGCUGCAUGGCUGUCGU